GUGAAUUUGCGCGACUAAAACAAGGAUACCCCUACACAUUAUUGAUUAUGAUAAAAAAUGACAUGAUUGAUUGAGUUAUAAGCAACGCUUGACUAAUAAUUAUUAGGAUUAAGUGAUAAAGACCACUUAAAUGCAUGUACUAGAUCAUUAAGUCUUUUUGUUCCACUAUAGCCAGCCAUGUAGUCACAUCUAUUUUUUUAUUAAAUGAUGUGCUUAAACCAGGCUAAUAAACAUUGCUAAACAUAUGAGUACCUUUACAUUUAUUUUUCCAUAAACAUAAAUAAAUAAAUAAAUAACAGACUAAAUCUCCAAAACAAAAUAUCCACGAAAUUGAUAGCUGAAAAUGCUCCAGCGAACACAUAGGAAUGACAUUCAAUGCUGCAGUUGUCCAUAAGUUAACUGGGUUCUUCACGGGAAGCCUAAGCAGCUAGUAGUGAGAGGUCACAAGGAUUUUACUUACAAAUUUUAGUUUAUUGUUCUCGAGGUAAACCAAUAAUGAAAUGGAAGAUCAACCGUUACACAACAUCACAAAUUGCAAUGGAGGUUCUACAUGUGAUGACAUACAUGUAAAAGGUAUGUCUGAUAACAGAGAGAAUACAGAAAUGCUUUUGAGUUCUGACUAAAAAAACAUAUAUAUUUUCUCACCAUGAAGAAAGAUAGUGUCAAGAAUCUAACAAAGCCAACACCUGCAAAUGCUCUGGAGUAGGAACUUGAAAUUUCCAACUGGAGAUCUGGAUGUUUCAUAAAAAAAACAUAUCCUGAUAAAAAGGAAUGUAAGAAUGAGAGUGAUGGGAUAAAAAUCAGACGCCAACCAUCUUGAAAAGAAUGAAGCAGAGGAAUCCAAGGAAGAUAAAGAGGAAUAAAUAAUCCACAAAAACGAAGAAAUUGGUUGACCCAUGAUUUCUUUUCUUCUUCUUAUUGUUGAUAUUGGGCUGCUUCGGUUCAUCGGCUAGCGGUUCAAGUUUGGCCAUUGCGUCAAAAUUGGUGGUUUGUCAGGGAUCUCUAGGGUUCCAAGAUCAGAUCUUGGAGAUCUGGGCUUCCUUCUGAAUCGAUUCGUUAAAAGGGUCGGUUGUAUCCCACGCGUUUUCUCACCAGUAGACGUUGCAGGCUCACAUUUACACAAGCAAAUAACAUGACCCUAGGCCCAUCUGCCAUGGAGCUAACCAGCUAGCUCUUCGCGUCAUCCAGUUGGCAUAUAUAUAUAUAUAUAUAUAUA
This 1216-nucleotide unclassified non-coding RNA is filed under the name Hevea brasiliensis (rubber tree). The record is from RNAcentral. Lineage: Eukaryota; Viridiplantae; Streptophyta; Magnoliopsida; Malpighiales; Euphorbiaceae.